AUUUAUAUAAUAUAAAAAGUAUAUUUGACCUCCAAUCAGAAUGUCUAAAUAAAUUUAGUAUAAAUA
Molecule: transfer RNA, 66 nt
Filed under: Liopterus haemorrhoidalis
Lineage: Eukaryota; Metazoa; Arthropoda; Insecta; Coleoptera; Dytiscidae
Description: tRNA-Gly
Source: RNAcentral